GACUGGGGUGAAGUCGUAACAAGGUAACCGUAGGGGAACCUGCGGUUGGAUCACCUCCUUACCAAGAAG
This 69-nucleotide ribosomal RNA is filed under the name Pectobacterium carotovorum subsp. carotovorum. RNAcentral describes it as "partial 16S ribosomal RNA". The stretch from base 1 to 61 matches the Rfam family "Bacterial small subunit ribosomal RNA", at positions 1473 to 1533 of the family's 1533-position model. RNAcentral also lists the same sequence under 1 other name. Lineage: Bacteria; Pseudomonadati; Pseudomonadota; Gammaproteobacteria; Enterobacterales; Pectobacteriaceae. The record is from RNAcentral.